Long non-coding RNA from Capsicum annuum, 598 nucleotides. RefSeq lists it as uncharacterized. The record is from RefSeq and is a predicted model, not a curated record. Lineage: Eukaryota; Viridiplantae; Streptophyta; Magnoliopsida; Solanales; Solanaceae. The transcript is spliced from 2 exons.
AUUAGUAAGUGUGCCAAAACAAAACAUUUUUCUCUUUCUAAAAAAUCAAACAAAACACUUAUUGAAACUUUAUCUUUCUGUUUCUUUCUCAGGUAACCAAAACCCAUUUCUCAUAUUAAAAGCAAUUGUAAUCUGUAGUUUUAGUGAAUCCAACAAAGCAUGGAAUAGUGGAAAUUUGGGAUGUCAAAAAGCUCAAAUGUUAUGUAAUAGAUAUUGAAGAAAUAUGUAUGUUUUGUUUGAAGCUCAAAGAUCAAAGGCACAGUUCUCAGUUAUUGAAGAAAUCUAUACAGUUGAGCAAGUUUAGUGAGGCCUUCGAUGAAUGGGUUAUCAAUUUCUCAGUUCUAGUCAGUUGAUUUGAGUUCUUAGCUACGUAAAUAGCAUCUGGGAGUAUUGCAGAUAAUUAAUUUUUGAAGGGUCUGUGAAGAAAGUGUUAAUCAAGAGGACAAAUUGAUUUUUGAAGCGUCUGUGAUAAAAAAAAUUGAAUUUUGGGGGUGAAUUUGGUGAGGAGAAGAAAAUCGGAAAUCGAUUGAAGAAGAAGCUCGUUAAGGAAGGUGAAGGUUUGGAAACCCCUGAAGCUGGUGAUGAAGUUUAUUAAAGG